This is a long non-coding RNA of Gallus gallus (chicken), 1100 nucleotides long. NCBI's taxonomy places the organism in Eukaryota, Metazoa, Chordata, Aves, Galliformes, Phasianidae. The record is from Ensembl.
GCUGGGUGUGUGCUACACCUGACCAUUGAUCCUGGCCCAAACUGCCAUUUGCAGGUGCCUGGAGGACCGCAGUACAAAGAACGUGUGGGGAUUUAGGGAAAUUACAGCCCUCUCUUGAGAACAGAAUUGGCAAAGAAUGUUUCAAGUGCCCAUUCAGAAAUGACACGUAAGUGCGAGUUGGGUCGGAGAUCACCACAACAUACUUCUUCCCAAAGCCCUUUGUAGCACUGGAUUCACUCUGAUCCCUCGGCUCGUCUCAUCUUUCAGUCAGACUGACGUAUGAAGAGCAGCGAUAGGCUUUCAUAAGAAGCUGCAAUAUAUCUUACAAGCAGUCAGUUCUGAGUUAAAUUCUGCAGGAUGCUUUGCUAUCGUUCUCCAGUUUGCAUCCCCACAGUGUGAGGACUUCAAUAACAAUUUCUAUUCAUGAUGUCAAUUCUGUAUCUUUUGCAGGUUUGAUCAGCAGCUUGCAGUUACUUAUCUGUGGGGAAGGGGAAGGGGCUCCAAAGAGGGAAAGUAAUUGCACUUGAAAAUCAGAACUCUGCAGUCAAACAGGCUUUGAGUCUUGCUGAUAAGGUUGGUUUGUCUGUCCUCUGCCACCUCUGAUUGCAGCUACUGAAUGAUGUGAAAGACUUCUGGAAAGCAGACUGAGAAUCUAUGUCCCUAAUGAAGCAGCAGGAUUCAAGAGGCAGUGUAUUUCUGAAGGAUUAUCAGAGGCCUUGGGCAUGCAAUGGGAUAUGCGGCUGGAGGCCAAGUGCUUUCACCCCCACUAGUGCCAUAAUCCAUACAAAAUGUGCUGUCCUACCUCCCCAGUUGUACUUUGCUGAGAAAGUCAGUAGGAAAUCUAAGAGAAAGUUGUGUAGGACUUAUUGACAGCUAGUCUGAAAGGCUGAAUUGUUUCCAAAUUUUCUUAUACAUGACCCAAAAGAUCAGCCCUAUCUGAAAGUAUUUUUAAGCCAGAUAAAACCUGUGGGGGUUAACAGCUCUCCAUAGUAAGACAUCAACAGUAUGGUCCAUAAAUCACGUUCACUGGUGGGAUCCUUGCUGAUGUGUGUCUGAGCUGACUUACAGGUUUGGAACGUGGGUGUUGUGGUUGUUUAAGG